RNAcentral lists this long non-coding RNA (1412 nucleotides) under Heterocephalus glaber (naked mole-rat). RNAcentral's name for it is "lncRNA (ENSHGLG00000047587.1)". The record is from RNAcentral. Lineage: Eukaryota; Metazoa; Chordata; Mammalia; Rodentia; Bathyergidae.
CUUACAUUUUGGAGGCCCCAGCGAGAUCCCCGGGUAAGGGACCCCCGUUCAGCCAAGACUCUGUGGCGGGAUCCAGCAGGAGACUCAGGCACAGACCUCAGAAAACCUCCGGAGGUUUGAUUCCAAGACCCUGGAACCUCGUUGGAAGGGACCGGUUCCUGCUGUCCUGUCAGCUCCCUUGGCGGUGAAGGUGGCUGGACAUUCUGCCUGGAUACAUCGCAACCAUCUGAAAGCCAGGACCCCCCGUGGAUGUCAAAAAGGACAAAUGGAAGGUUAUCAGCCAACCAGGCAACCAAAAGCUAAGACUGGAACGGCAAAUUUAACCAAGACCCGUUGCUGUUUGAGUCGUCUAGCUGUAGUGUUGCCAGACAGAACUGAUUUGAUUGUGCCUAACAGAACUAAACGUUGGUCACCUUACACUGCACCAGGAUGCGAUGAUGACGUAGGUCUGUUAACAGAUGCUGAAGUAAUAACCAUGAUAGCAUCUUUUGUUGCCCUGCCUUCUAUAGGAGUCCAUGCUGAAAAGGCAGUAUGAAAAUUAGCUUGCAAGGUGGUCAAAGGGUUAAAUGCUAGCUCAUCAGCCUUGUCAUUAAUUAACCAAGAGUUACAGGAACAGAGACAGGCAAUCUUAGAUAAUAGAACAGCAAUAGACUAUUUGUUGCUCCUCCACCACCAAGGUUGUGAAAGAGUAAAAAAUAUGUGUUGUUUCAAUCUUACCGAUAAUGGUCCAAAGAUCGAAGAAAAGGUAAAACAAUUAGAAGAUCUGGCUCAAAGAAUAUAUAAUGAGGAUGACGGGGACUUGUUCAAAUGGUUAACUUCGUGGUUGCCCAACCUAAAAUGGUUAAAACAACUUUUUCUUGUCAUCAUAGUUUUGUGUACAUGCUUAUUAUUGUCAUGUUGUUGUAUACAAUGGAUGCCUACAUUUGUGCGUAAGAUUACUUAAGUUCCAAAAAUCAGUGGGGAAUGUGGGACUGCUUAACCUUUGUUCCUUUUCUCCAGCCCCAUUGUGAUUAAAUGUGAGUUAAUGGAUAAAGAUGCUUGUUAGUUUUGGGACACUAGAUAAAAAUCUGUAACAGACCUAAAGUCCCAAAGUAAACUACUCAACUCCUUGUUUGCCCGGAACUGAUGUUCCGAGCACCACAAUUUUUAGAACAAGCUGCAAAUGUCUGCUGACCAUCAAUACGUGACAGUCGACCACUAACCUUUGUCCCCUUUUCUUUAAUUCUAUAUGUUAACUCCCCCUCAACCCCCUAUAAAAACAGCCUCGGACUCUGAGCUAGCUGCCUCUCUAAGCUAUUUUGCUUUGGGAGUGCCGUCUGGCCAGACUAAUAAAGGUCUGUUUUACUUUCCAACGUGUCCGGUGUGUUCCUUCCCGGGUGUUCGUCGCUGCAGUCAGCUCCUCGGAGCGUUUG